Molecule: ribosomal RNA, 492 nt
Filed under: uncultured bacterium
Lineage: Bacteria
Description: partial 16S ribosomal RNA
Rfam family: Bacterial small subunit ribosomal RNA
Source: RNAcentral
GAUGAACGCUAGCUACAGGCUUAACACAUGCAAGUCGAGGGGAAACGACAUCGAAAGCUUGCUUUUGAUGGGCGUCGACCGGCGCACGGGUGAGUAACGCGUAUCCAACCUGCCCAUCACUUGGGAAUAACCUUGCGAAAGUAAGACUAAUACCCAAUGAUAUCCCACGAAGGCAUCGGAAUGGGAUUAAAGAUUUAUCGGUGAUGGAUGGGGAUGCGUCUGAUUAGCUUGUUGGCGGGGUAACGGCCCACCAAGGCAACGAUCAGUAGGGGUUCUGAGAGGAAGGUCCCCCACAUUGGAACUGAGACACGGUCCAAACUCCUACGGGAGGCAGCAGUGAGGAAUAGUGGUCAAGGGGCGAGAGCCUGAACCAGCCAAGUAGCGUGCAGGAAGACGGCCCUAUGGGUUGUAAACUGCUUUUAUAAGGGAAUAAAGUGGGUCACGUGUGACUUUUUGCAUGUACCUUAUGAAUAAGGACCGGCUAAUUCCGUG